RNAcentral lists this ribosomal RNA (202 nucleotides) under uncultured bacterium. RNAcentral describes it as "partial 16S ribosomal RNA". It matches the Rfam family "Bacterial small subunit ribosomal RNA", at positions 1300 to 1500 of the family's 1533-position model. The record is from RNAcentral.
GUAGUCUGCAACCCGGCCUACAUGAAGCUGGGAUCGCUAGUAAUCGCGGAUCAGAAUGCCGCGGUGAAUACGUUCCCGGGUCUUGUACACACCGCCCGUCACACCAUGGGAGCCGGAAAUGCCCGAAGUCAGUGACCCAACCGCAAGGAGGGAGCUGCCGAAGGUGGAGCUGGUAACUGGGGUGAAGUCGUAACAAGGUAGC